This 1107-nucleotide long non-coding RNA is filed under the name Marmota monax (woodchuck). Lineage: Eukaryota; Metazoa; Chordata; Mammalia; Rodentia; Sciuridae. The record is from RNAcentral.
GAAGAAAAAAGAGAAGACAAAAAUUAUAGCUGUAAUACUGUAUCAGAAUGUUGACUGACACUUUCGAUUGUCACAGGACUGCAGCUAAGGUCUGGGGAUCUAAAGAGAGCUAUUAGUUGGGUACAGUGGCGCAUACCUUUUAUCCCAGUGACUCAGGAGGCUGAGUCAGAAUGAUCACAAGUUCAAAGCCAGACUCAGUAAUUUAGCAAGGUCCUCAUUGACUUAUUGAGACCCUCUCUCAAAAAAUAAAAAGGGCUGGGGAUAUAGCUCAGUGGUAAAGUGCCCCUGGGUUCAAUCCUUAGUACCAAGGGCAGGGGCAGGGUGCAAGCUGUCAACCGACCUAUGACAGCUGGAGCCAUGGAGCUUAAUGAAGAUCCACAGGAUGGCAGGCCCCUGGAGGCCUUGUUGGCCUUGUCUAUGAGCAGAUUGACCUUUACCUUGAGGGAAACACAACACUGUAACGGACCCAGUGUGAUUCCUCUUCGUACUUGGCACUAGCCCAGUGCUGGAUGUAGAGAAUGGGCUCAGGAAUUGUUGGGCUAAAAGGAGCCUUAUGAUAUUGACAGCCAUUGUUCUAAGAGUUUUACAUUCAUAAUACAUUUAUUCCUCCAAGAUAAGGCUAUCAUUUAUGCUUGAAAGAAAAGGAACUGAGCCUUUGAGAAGUUUGUCCAACACCUGCCUAAGUCCAAAGCCCAGGUUCUUCUCUGUACUCUGCAGUCCAUUAAUGUGGCCUCUAUGCAUUGCACAUGAACACAUACUGAAAGGCUAAACAGACACACAUCAAAUUUAACACUCCCAUAGAGCAACCUUUAAGAAAUGGGAAGUUCAGAGAGGAAGAAAAUACAAUAAUAUGCUAGAUGUUGUUUAUAAAAACAGCUUCUCCCAGAUUGCAAUAAAACACAGAGACAUUCACUUUCUGGUUCCAUUGAAAUAGCAAUGCUGACAUGGUCAUCCUGCCAGAGCCUAUCAGAUGUGGCUAAAUGCAAGGGUUUGGCAUCCUCUGCAGACAACUAUAGGACUAUUGGGGCCUUUAUUAACCACGUCUGCCCAGCCAAGAACGCUGAUAGACAAAUCAUAGAAAGGGAAAUACAAAUGACUAAGAAACAU